Molecule: ribosomal RNA, 430 nt
Filed under: uncultured bacterium
Lineage: Bacteria
Description: SSU rRNA
Rfam family: Bacterial small subunit ribosomal RNA
Source: RNAcentral
GACGAACGCUGGCGGCGUGCUUAACACAUGCAAGCUGAACGGGUCAUUAAGGAGUAGCAAUAUGAAUUAAUGGUCAGUAGCGGACGGGUGAGUAAAAGACGAGAAGCUGUCUAUCAGAGGGGGACAACGUUUAGAAAUGAACGCUAAUACCGCAUACGCCAACGGGUGAAAGCAGAGAUGCGCUGAGAGAGGUGCUCGUAACCUAUCAGGUAGUUGGUGGGAUAAAAGCCUACCAAGCCGAUGACGGGUAGCCGGCCUGAGAGGGUGAACGGCCACACUGGAACUGAGACACGGUCCAGACUCCUACGGGAGGCAGCAGUGGGGAAUAUUGGGCAAUGGAUGCAAGUCUGACCCAGCGACGCCGCGUGAAUGAAGAAGGUCUUCGGAUUGUAAAGUUCUUUUAUACGGGAAGAGAAGAAGACGGUACCGU